CGCGCAGGCGGUCCUUUAAGUCUGAUGUGAAAGCCCACGGCUCAACCGUGGAGGGUCAUUGGAAACUGGGGGACUUGAGUGCAGAAGAGGAAAGCGGAAUACCACGUGUAGCGGUGAAAUGCGUAGAGAUGUGGAGGAACACCAGUGGCGAAGGCGGCUUUCUGGUCUGUAACUGACGCUGAGGCGCGAAAGCGUGGGGAGCAAACA
Molecule: ribosomal RNA, 207 nt
Filed under: uncultured bacterium
Lineage: Bacteria
Description: partial 16S ribosomal RNA
Rfam family: Bacterial small subunit ribosomal RNA
Source: RNAcentral